UUCAUGCUAUUUUAAUGGAGUCUUUUAUUUAUUAGAGCCACAAAACAUACUAGGCCAAUACUAUUUUAAGUCCCGAUAAGCCCCGCAAUAUUUUGCCAGACAUUUUCUGCUCCAGUUUUGUUUCGUACAAACAUAUUUUUGCAACAUCAUGCCCCAAGUCUCCAGACCCCAACCCCAACCCCAACCCAAACCACAAAUUACAAAGUAAAAUGCAAAGAAAUCGACAUUCACCGUCUGUAAUUUCAAGUGUUUGGCAUUGACAAUUUUUCGUUCCGAUUUUCAGGCAUAUCCAUGCCCGUCCCAUUGUUGAGGAAAUUGUGAAAACGCCAGGGAAUUGGGCAAGCAAAUUUCGUUUGUAUUUACCUCGUCUUGGAGUACCUCGAAGAUGGAAAAGAUUUCGAGAGACAGUUAAUUAAACCGAAGUCAAGAUUGAGAGGGGAGGGGGGAGACCCCGGCCUCAGGUGAUUGCCAUUUUUGUGGGAUGGUUUUGAUUGGCGAGACAAACAAGCGGCGACAGUGAAAGACAGAAACAAACUUCAAAUGUCGCAAUUUUGGCGGCGCCUUAAAUGUGACACGAAAAGCGACUAAACUCGGAUGCGGUAAUUAUGAUUAAUUAACAUGUCUUUAAGUAUUGUUUGGCAAAUAUUUGGAUAUUUGUAUGCCUGCCAGUACCCGUUGGAAUCACUCGAAUGACUCACUGACCAACUGGGGAAUAUCGAAAUCGCUGCACUUGUCUCUCGCUUGGCUCUUAUCUUAUCGCCGACACAAGCGAAACAUGGCCAAAAUGAAGUGGAAAACUUAUCGCCCUUCCUCUGAUAAGGCCCAACAGAUAGCUGAUGGAAUGACAGACCGUAUGUACCAUAUGUACCAUAUGUACCAUACGCAUGUAUGUAGCUGUGCAACGGGAAUGAGGUAAGCAGUUGUAGAAAUGCACCGAAAUUCACUCACUUCCACGAGGUAGAUCCCAGAUUGUGUGGAGUCAAAAUUAUUAGGCCAUAAAUACUUGCGGCAAAAUGUGACGCCCACUGCGCAUGCGCACACAUCUGAGACGAUGAAAUGGGGCAGACAGGGUAUGCCUGUAAAUACGGCUGCUAGAGAUACAUUAUCUUUCUCUGGCUACGACACUGAGUGGGCUUUUGACUUUCUGUUUGGCCGAUCUCUUGUCGAGUCAACAAAGCUUACACACAGAAAAGAGAAAAGGCUAAGGAAGCGACACUGAAUGUGGCAGCGGAGAAGAAUGCUGGUGCUGCGGACUGCGGACUGGGGAGAAGGUGCCAUCACAAGAAGGCUUUAACAAUUAGUCACCGUUGCGCAUUGAGCGCUUACAGAGCUCACUGAAAGAAGAUGGAGAAUACAACAAGGUGAAGGAUUAGCACUCCAGUCCGCCAGUGGAGCUCUAAAUAUCUACCUGUCCAUACCUCUCGGCCAAAUCCAGCAACGAUUCUGCAAUUUUUCACAUUCUAAUUGCUCGUCAUCUCAUUAACCACAAUUCUUUUGUCUCCCCAGCCCACACCUCUAAACCCCCCCUCCCUCCUCUCCCUUGCCCGAAGAGCUGCCGGCUAAGAGGUUUUUAAUUAUGCUGCCUCCGCUAAUGACGCGCGCGGCCAAAAGAAAAAAAUUAAAAACAUUGCAAAAAUUAUUAUUAACCAAAAUACGAAUAUAUACGUAUAUAAAAAAAUGCUUGGCUAUAUAUAAAAACAAUUAUCACUGUACGCAAGUAAAUGAACUCCGCACCAGACAAAGGGAGAAUUUUUUGUUUAAACCAGCUGCUAUAAAUGCCCUCAAAAAGGUUUUCGUUUUUGCGCUGGAAAAUCUGUUCAAGUUGAUUGAUUUCAUUGAAAAUAUGCUCAAAACUGAUUAAUCUAAAAAUAAUGGCAAAACGUAGACCCGAAAGGGAUGGCAGAGGAAGCUGAUAAUAAAAAUGAUACUCUUUUAAAGAGAUAUAAAAGAUUCACAUCUUCAUUUUUCACUUCCUAUUCAAGUGCUAAUUACUCCAAAAAUUAGCCACUUUUUAAAUCUGGAAACAAUUUCACUGUCUCAUUCGCCACAAAGUGGAAGUGUUCAUCAAUUCUGAAAAUUAAAUAUUUAAAAAUAUAUACAUAAAGUAUAUUUUUACACCACGAAGACUUCCUAGUUGUAUGACAGAUGUUUUUCAAUGGUGUCAUUAAUCUUUUGGCUAUACCCGGUAUGA
Long non-coding RNA from Drosophila pseudoobscura, 2191 nucleotides. RefSeq lists it as uncharacterized. The transcript is spliced from 3 exons. Lineage: Eukaryota; Metazoa; Arthropoda; Insecta; Diptera; Drosophilidae. The record is from RefSeq and is a predicted model, not a curated record.